UAGCCUUCUCAGCCCCCCCCCCCCAAAGACUGUGCCCACAAACAAGCAGGAAGAAGUCUUGAGAAUCCGCCGCCCUAAUUCCUUCAACCUGUGCUGCUAAUCUCCCGCUUUUUAUUAUAAAAAAAGAGCUGGGAAUGUAAUGUUCUGUCUCUUUAAGAGACAAGCCAUAUCUACUCCCUUCCUGCUUGCAGUCUCAGCCCCACUCUCUCUCUCUUCCUGCCCCCUCUCUCGGAGAGGCAGUCUUUCUCCCCCCUCCCCUCCCCCUUUCUCCCCUUUUCCUUCCCCUCCAUAACACCAAAUAAAUGUCCAAUUCCAUUCUUUAUGGUGUGCCUAUCUCUGUGUCUUCCACCCACCGCCUGUCUGUUUGUCACCACCAGGGACCAGCCACCUUCCCCGCCGCAUGGUCUCUGGGACUGGCUGCUUUUGGGUCCCCAGCAGUCCUGGAGACUCAGCAUCUGUGCCUCCCACCCACCGCCUGCCCACACUGCUCGCCCUGGACCAGCCAGCCGCCACAUGGCUGGGGACCAGCCACCUUCGCUUGGGGACCUGCUAUGUGGUUUCAACCCCGCAGCAAGCAAGCUGCCAGGGACCCGCAGCAAAUCCAGAUACUAGGGGGCUCUGGACCACUACCUUGUUGUAGCUGCUUGUUUGUUUCCUGGCCGCCCGGACUCCAAAAUAAUCACACAGAAACCAUAUCACUGCUUGACCAAUCAUGUAGUCAAGUGGACUGAAUUCAGCAUCCUCAGCCUCUGUGAAGAACAAGUGGACUUGAGUUUGUUCAGCCUUAUCUGGGCUGUUUAGAGAUGGUGCUACAUCUGUAUAAUUCAAAGUUCUGCAACCAGAACAGCUUCAGAGCUGCUGACUGAGAUGGCCCAGCCUCACAGACUACUCCAGCCAGGACUUCAAGUGAUUGGGAAAUGAACAAACAGUCUCUACUGACAGAAGAAACUCUCUGGUUACCUUUUACCUAUAGUAAGUCAUAAAACUCUCCUCAUUCCAGAGGGAUCCAUGCUGCUCAGAGAAGCUGAGAGGAAUCUGAACAGGACAGGCAUUGCUGGAUUUUCUCAACAGGGUAGGCUUUCUAUCUCUAAAAUACUAAUUAGGCAUGUAAUAGUAAAAUGUAGAGAGAGAUUUAUUCAAUGUGACCAUAUUGGGAAGAGGAGUAGAUGUCCCCAAGUCUAUCUCUUUGGCACUCACAUGAGUUUUAGGUUUAAAUAGAGGAGGAAUGGGGUAAGGGGCAGGAGGUGUACAUAAUUAAGCAGGUCUCCUCUAAAUGUGGCCUAGUUUACCAUAUUGCCUCAAUUCUGGUUCUGCAGGGUGGUCUGCAGAAGUCCUUAUUGCUGUAACUGCUUGAGAAAUUCAAUCUGGUUUACUGGAGUUGGUUAUUUCUGUACUAGCAUACAUCUUUGGUAGCAUGGAAAAUUCCCUCAUCUGAGGAAUUGUCUUUCCUGUGAAGUUCUGCUGUUCCUAGAACCCAUGGUGACUUUAUGUUUAGGACACUGACUUGUCUCUGUGCAUUUAGCCUUGAAGAGGGGUGAGUGCAUGGAGGCACUCCUUGAGUGAUUAACAUGCCUAUGUGAAGAGGUUAACAGGUAACCCAAAGGAAAAGGGGACAUGCAUAAAAUGAAGGCAGAAAUUCCAGGUUUUCUCCUCUUGGUAUCUUCCUGUUAAAGAAGGUACAUAUUUUUUCUUUUAAUUAUUUUGAGAUUAUGUAGCCCAUGUAGCUAUGUAGCCCUAUGUAGCUGUCCUGGAAUUCCCUAUAUAGACCAGGCUGGCCUUGAACUUGCCUGUCUCUGCCUCCAGAGUGCUGGGAUAAAAGCACAUCCCACUACACUCAGUUAGUACCCAUUUCUUAAAUAAAGGAUAAUUCAGUGUCCCACAAAUGAUCAGCUUUGCAUCAUAUUUGCCAAAAUGAAAAUUCACACACUUUCAGAUUUGUAUAGUUAAAAGGAUGGGGAAGUAAGACAAGAUGAGUUACAGAGUUGAUUUUCAAAUCAGUGAUCUACACUGAAUCUUCCAGGGAACUUCAAAAAUUAUGGCAAUAGUGAAAUAUGAAAAAAGAAUGACAAUAAUGGCAAUAGAAAAACAGCAUGCAUUUCUUUCUAAAAUUAUCUACUUUCUGAGUGAAAUUAUGUCUGGAUAUAGUGUAAACCUGAGAAACUCACCCAAAAACAUAGAAUAAGACUGAGAAAAAGGUGAGCAGCUGGUAUGGUAAGUCCUUCUGUCUAUGUGUUGCUUUUGUUAGUUAAUGGAUAAAUCUGUUUUAGCCAGUGGCUUAAUAAAAUAGAGCAAGGCAGGAAUUCCAAGCAGAUAGAGGAGGAAAGAAGGUGGAGUCAAGGAGAAGACAUAUAGCUGCCACAGGAGACAGACACCUCUGCCGGAGCCUGCUGAAACUUUGCCAGUAGGCCACAACCUUGUGGUAAUGCGCAGAUUAACGGAGAUGGAUUAUUUUAGAAUAUAAGAACUAGCUAGAAAAUAUGCUUAAGCUAUAGGCCAUACAGUAUUGCAAAUAAUAUAGUUUCUGUGUGAUUAUUUCGGGUCUGAGUGGCAACAGAUUGGCACCCAAUGUGGCCAACUAAAUCCACUUAAAACCUGAGACAGCUUGGGAAGGAAUUCUAGACACACACACAAAAACAAAGUUUAAGGUAGCUUCUUGCUUUGUUUGCUGACCGUAAGCUGAGAUACUGCUCCUUUAAGAGGUUUCCUGACUCAGCUUUAGUGUCAAGCUGUUUCUUUAAGGGAAGGCCUUCCGAUUCAUGCUAGUUACAGGAACAGCUCUGGCUCUCUUGGGGGGAAUGAUGCCCACCACCCACUUCGAGUCCAGAUGCUUAUGUGCCUACUUGGGGUUGGGAGGAAAGGCUCAGCACUCCCUGCCUGGGUAUGUGGCAGGAUUGAGUCUGUUAGGUGUGCACAGGCAGUAGAGCGUGGUAGAUUCCCACUGCCAUACACAGGAGUAUUUCUAGGUCAUGCAGUGCACUGCAUGGCAGAUUUAGCUUUUACUCAGAUAAAAAGGGUUUAUAUGCCGCAUGGUGCUUUCCAGAGUUGAGGUGGUGAGGAUGGCUCCCACUCAGCAGUCUCAGAGACAGUGAACAUGCCUCUGCCAUGUUGGACUGGGAGGAGCCAACAGGCAGGCCCAAGUUGAUCCUAGCCAUGCCCACUUAGCACUAAAAAGGAGGGGGCUUUUGAUCAAAAAAUAAUUACAGAUAUGCAAUAAAGACAGAUUCGGAUAAAAAACACCUCUAAAUGGGUCACAGGGGUUGAUUACUAUAUGUAGGCUUGGGGGAGAGAAG
This is a long non-coding RNA of Arvicola amphibius (Eurasian water vole), 3290 nucleotides long. RefSeq lists it as uncharacterized. The transcript is spliced from 4 exons. Lineage: Eukaryota; Metazoa; Chordata; Mammalia; Rodentia; Cricetidae. The record is from RefSeq and is a predicted model, not a curated record.